UCCCAAAAUAUAUGUUAAGUGGAAAAGGAUGUGGCGUUGCCCAGACAACUAGGAUGUUGGCUUAGAAGCAGCCAUCAUUUAAAGAGUGCGUAAUAGCUCACUAGUCGAGUGACACUGCGCCGAAAAUGUACCGGGGCUAAACAUAUUACCGAAGCUGUGGAUUGUCCUUUGGACAAUGGUAGGAGAGCGUUCUAAGGGCGUUGAAGCAUGAUCGUAAGGACAUGUGGAGCGCUUAGAAGUGAGAAUGCCGGUGUGAGUAGCGAAAGACGGGUGAGAAUCCCGUCCACCGAUUGACUAAGGUUUCCAGAGGAAGGCUCGUCCGCUCUGGGUUAGUCGGGUCCUAAGCUGAGGCCGACAGGCGUAGGCGAUGGAUAACAGGUUGAUAUUCCUGUACCACCUAUAAUCGUUUUAAUCGAUGGGGGGACGCAGUAGGAUAGGCGAAGCGUGCGAUUGGAUUGCACGUCUAAGCAGUAAGGCUGAGUAUUAGGCAAAUCCGGUACUCGUUAAGGCUGAGCUGUGAUGGGGAGAAGACAUUGUGUCUUCGAGUCGUUGAUUUCACACUGCCGAGAAAAGCCUCUAGAUAGAAAAUAGGUGCCCGUACCGCAAACCGACACAGGUAGUCAAGAUGAGAAUUCUAAGGUGAGCGAGCGAACUCUCGUUAAGGAACUCGGCAAAAUGACCCCGUAACUUCGGGAGAAGGGGUGCUCUUUAGGGUUAACGCCCAGAAGAGCCGCAGUGAAUAGGCCCAAGCGACUGUUUAUCAAAAACACAGGUCUCUGCUAAACCGUAAGGUGAUGUAUAGGGGCUGACGCCUGCCCGGUGCUGGAAGGUUAAGAGGAGUGGUUAGCUUCUGCGAAGCUACGAAUCGAAGCCCCAGUAAACGGCGGCCGUAACUAUAACGGUCCUAAGGUAGCGAAAUUCCUUGUCGGGUAAGUUCCGACCCGCACGAAAGGCGUAACGAUUUGGGCACUGUCUCAACGAGAGACUCGGUGAAAUCAUAGUACCUGUGAAGAUGCAGGUUACCCGCGACAGGACGGAAAGACCCCGUGGAGCUUUACUGUAGCCUGAUAUUGAAAUUCGGCACAGCUUGUACAGGAUAGGUAGGAGCCUUUGAAACGUGAGCGCUAGCUUACGUGGAGGCGCUGGUGGGAUACUACCCUAGCUGUGUUGGCUUUCUAACCCGCACCACUUAUCGUGGUGGGAGACAGUGUCAGGCGGGCAGUUUGACUGGGGCGGUCGCCUCCUAAAAGGUAACGGAGGCGCUCAAAGGUUCCCUCAGAAUGGUUGGAAAUCAUUCAUAGAGUGUAAAGGCAUAAGGGAGCUUGACUGCGAGACCUACAAGUCGAGCAGGGUCGAAAGACGGACUUAGUGAUCCGGUGGUUCCGCAUGGAAGGGCCAUCGCUCAACGGAUAAAAGCUACCCCGGGGAUAACAGGCUUAUCUCCCCCAAGAGUUCACAUCGACGGGGAGGUUUGGCACCUCGAUGUCGGCUCAUCGCAUCCUGGGGCUGUAGUCGGUCCCAAGGGUUGGGCUGUUCGCCCAUUAAAGCGGUACGCGAGCUGGGUUCAGAACGUCGUGAGACAGUUCGGUCCCUAUCCGUCGUGGGCGUAGGAAAUUUGAGAGGAGCUGUCCUUAGUACGAGAGGACCGGGAUGGACAUACCUCUGGUGUACCAGUUGUCGUGCCAACGGCAUAGCUGGGUAGCUAUGUGUGGACGGGAUAAGUGCUGAAAGCAUCUAAGCAUGAAGCCCCCCUCAAGAUGAGAUUUCCCAACUUCGGUUAUAAGAUCCCUCAAAGAUGAUGAGGUUAAUAGGUUCGAGGUGGAAGCAUGGUGACAUGUGGAGCUGACGAAUACUAAUCGAUCGAAGACUUAAUCAA
Molecule: ribosomal RNA, 1876 nt
Filed under: Staphylococcus aureus
Lineage: Bacteria; Bacillati; Bacillota; Bacilli; Caryophanales; Staphylococcaceae
Description: partial 23S ribosomal RNA
Rfam family: Bacterial large subunit ribosomal RNA
Source: RNAcentral